RNAcentral lists this ribosomal RNA (263 nucleotides) under uncultured bacterium. Its description in RNAcentral is "partial 16S ribosomal RNA". It matches the Rfam family "Bacterial small subunit ribosomal RNA", at positions 793 to 1055 of the family's 1533-position model. The record is from RNAcentral.
GUCCACACUGUAAACGAUGCAUACUGGGUGUCCGAAAUUCGUUUCGGGUACCGUAGCUAACGCGUUAAGUAUGCCGCCUGGGGAGUACGUACGCAAGUAUGAAACUCAAAGGAAUUGACGGGGCCCGCACAAGCGGUGGAGCAUGUGGUUUAAUUCGAAGCAACGCGCAGAACCUUACCAGGGUUUGACAUGGAAUCGCCGCAGCGAGAGAUCGCUGUUUAGUAGCAAUACUACGGUUCACACAGGUGCUGCAUGGCUGUCGU